RNAcentral lists this ribosomal RNA (440 nucleotides) under uncultured bacterium. RNAcentral's name for it is "partial 16S ribosomal RNA". It matches the Rfam family "Bacterial small subunit ribosomal RNA", at positions 338 to 795 of the family's 1533-position model. The record is from RNAcentral.
CCUACGGGCGGCAGCAGUCGGGAAUAUUGCACAAUGGAGGAAACUCUGACGCAGUGACGCCGCGUGCAGGAAGAAGGUUUUCGGAUUGUAAACUUCUUUCGACAGGGAAGAUAAUGACAGUACCUGUAGAAUAAGCUGCGGCUAACUACGGGCCAGCAGCCGCGGUAAUACGUAGGGAGCAAGCGUUAUCCGGAUUUAUUGGGUGUAAAGGGUGAGUAGACGGGAAGGCAAGUUAGUUGUGAAAUCCCUCGGCUUAACUGAGGAACUGCAACUAAAACUAUCGUUCUUGAGUGCUGGAGAGGAAAGUGGAAUUCCUAGUGUAGCGGUGAAAUGCGUAGAUAUUAGGAGGAACACCAGUGGCGAAGGCGACUUUCUGGACAGUAACUGACGUUGAGGCACGAAAGUGUGGGGAGCAAACAGGAUUAGAUACCCGUGUAGUC